Molecule: long non-coding RNA, 3162 nt
Organism: Numida meleagris (helmeted guineafowl)
Lineage: Eukaryota; Metazoa; Chordata; Aves; Galliformes; Numididae
Exons: 2
Source: RefSeq, a predicted model, not a curated record
GUUGCCGCGGGGCGCGCCGGGUAAUCCGGCGGAAUCCCCACGCCGCAGCGCGGUGCGUCAUCGGGCAGCACGGGAGAGGCGGGGCCGCGCGUCCCCUCCGUCACCACGGCAACGCGCCGCGCGGAAACGAGGCCGGCGGAGCUUGAAGCCGUUCCCCCUUGUCCUAUCACUAUUAGACCGUGUGAAAAGUCAGUCCUCGUCCUGCUUGUAAGCUCCCUUUAAGUACUGGAAGGCAGCAACGAUCUCUCCUUGGAGCCUUUUCCAGGCUGAACAAGCCCAACUCCCUCAGCCUUUCUUCACAGGAGAGGUGCUCCAGCCCUCAGAUCGUCCUCGUGACCCUCCUCUGGACCAGCUCCAACAGCUCCAACAGCUGCACAUCCCUGCUGUGCUGGGGGUCUCAGGCCUGGACGUAACAUUCUAGAUGGGGCCUUAUAGGGCAGAGGGGGACAAAUGUCCCCGAGGCCACAGAUCUCAGUGCUGUCAGUGGGGCCGGGGAGAUGCCAAAGUUGAAUGGUAAAGCCCACCUACAAGUCCUGAGGACUGCUACCUGCCUCAUGGGGGCUGAUGGUAAAGGUGAACAAGAACAGGUCAAAUCUGGAUACAGCUAUGGUCAUGAACUUUGGUUUCUUCACUCCAUUUUUCUACACUUGAAGAUUCAGCAAGUUAAUAUGUUUUACCUUUAAACCAAGGUCAUCCCAUUUGUUCCAUUCUGAGCUCACACACGUACUUUGCCCAUUGCCUUCUAGGCCUGUCCUUACCCUCUGUCCCUUCCCUGUCAUUGUUUCUCUCACAAACAUCUCCCGAGUUGAUGUCCGCAUGGUGGUUAUUUGAGCCAAGUCCAGCAGAAAUGGUAACAGCUGAGAGAAGUCCUGAUACUAUUUGGAUGAUAUUCCCAAGUGUAUUACAUGUACGCAGCCUUCAGGUCUGCACUCAGGUAGUGAAAGGCUCAGAGUACUGCAAGCCCUGCCUACAUAGUGCCUUCUCUUACACAAUAGAGGACAGGUGCUCAGCUGGGCCCUACUUCAUGACCUUGGGAAUACUGUGCAAAACCGUCUGCUGUGCACCCAGCAAGUGCCGCCUGCACUGUGCCACGCGUCAGCAGGGAUAUUUCAAGAAAGCCUUCAAUCCUUGUGCCCCCAUAAAUUCUCCCAACCCUCCCUAUGCUGGAGUCAGAUAACAAGCAGGAGGACAAUGGCUCCAAGAAUCCAGGCUGCCCAUCUGCUCCCCACUUCCAGAUUCUUGCUUCUGCAGCGCCAGCUGAUGAAAUUUUCAUAGCUGAUGAGGUUUCCCAUUUCCACGGGGCCUUACUGCCUUGGAGACCUCACAGUUGUGGGCUGUUCAGGUUUCUGUGGGUGUGCACUGAUGGCAGCGAUGAUUAGAGUCCUUUCCUUUCUUAGAGUAGGAUCAUAGAACCGUAGAGAACCUAUGACAGAGGGUCUAUGGAAAGGACCUCCAAGCUUUUUACAAGUUUAGGUGCAAUAAGCCCUGCAGGAUGGAGAGAACUAGACUUUCAGAUGGCCUCAGCAUGUAAUGCUUCUAUUAAACACAGCUCUUCUCAAAAUCAGAUCCCAAGGUCAAACAGCCAAAGGGAGACAAAAGCAGAACUUGGGAUGCCUGAGCACCAGUCACCUGCUCUGAGCACGAAGAAAACCCUGUGCCCAAAUACAGAAACCUCUGACUGCCAACCCCCUUCCCUCUCUGCCACCACACAUAUGUACCCUUCCUUUUCAUUUAUCCAGAUUGCUUGUGAGUUGGACUCAGUGCUGCUCUGAGCCAAGAGAAGUGACACGAUGCGGAAGCAUGACGUUGUAUUGCAUUAUACUCAUUUAUAUAGCACUAUUCGUGCCAAAGUCUUGUUCCCUGCUAGAGCCAGUUGCUCACUAAAGCCUCUGAAGUUCAAUUAACAAGCACCAGGUAAUUUAACACUUGACUCCCAAUAAUCCCUUUAUUUUAAGGGGCCUCUGGCGGAUGCUGAAGCUCUCAGUAAACAGUCCUAGAAAUACAUUUGAGAUUCUCCCAAAUACCAGUUGAAUUUAUGACCCUUAAUGAAGAGCAGGGAGGAAUCUAUUCAAAAUACUUUCCAACUGGCAGCACUUUAUAUAGACCUCUGUAACUUUAUAAAAGGAACCCCUGCAGGGGCAGGUGCCACCCUGCGGAGGGACAAAUCCCUCUGAAGUGCCUACAGUGAAGAAGUAGACACCAUAAAUAAUGUCUCCCCACCAGAAAGCAGGGCAGGCUUGGUCCCCUCAGGUUCUGAGGGGGGAACCAACCUUCUGAGGGGCCAACCCAGGUCAAGCUGGGAAGACAACGGACCAGGCCACCCUUUGAUGAUCCCUGCCUGCAGAAUGUGUGAAGUCCCAUUUCCUCCUGCUUGAAAGGACUCUCAGGAUGCACUCACUUUUGUACAGCAAAGUGCAGUCAGCCUGGGACAGCCAAACAUGUCUGUGGAUGCAGAAUAGGAUGGCCAAACAGUCCCUCCCAGCAUGCCUGGUUAAUGCAUCUACCAGAGAAACAUCCCACCAGCAAACCAGCUGCUAGCAAUACCCAAGGACAGAAUUAAAUCAAUUCUUCUACGUAAGAGUGGGGCUAAAUUUUACUGUGAAAGCAUUCCAAAAACACCUGGAAUUUGUUCAUGGAGAAAUACUUUGCUGUCAGGAUCACAAGCAACAACGGCCAAAGAACAGAAUUUUGCUGACCCAACCAAAACUGCUGUGUUUGUCUUAUGGGACUGCCUAAAGGCACCCGUCCACGGUUGGGAUGUAAUUGUGCUGGGUGCUGUACGGACAGACAAGCAGACACAAUAUCCUGCCCCCAGGGCUUGAAUCUCAGAACCUCUUGAUUUUCUUUCAAAGCAUCUCUGGGCACACAGGAUAAAGGAUGAAGGCAGGGCUGAAGAACAACAGCAGCGAAGCACUCGCAUGGGACCCUGGCUCCUGGUCAGCUCAGAGGUUUUGUGCCAUAGUGAAGUUUGAGCAGAGGGAUGCACAGCUUACCCUGGUAUAUCAAAUGUAUGUAAGGGCCCUUUUCCCUAACCUGUACAUCUGAUGAAUGCAUUGCAUAUCAACACUUCCCCAUUACAUCUGCUUCCGGUGCAUGUUUCAUAUAUUUAUAUAUAUGUACGUUGAAAAAUAAAACCAAAAAUAAUAAAACAAAUAGAUAUCA